UACGUAGGUGACCAGCGUUGUCCGGAUUUACUGGGCGUAAAGAGCGCGCAGGCGGUCGUUCAAGUCGAGUGUGAAAGCCCCCGGCUCAACUGGGGAGGGUCACGCGAUACUGAUCGACUCGAAGGCAGGAGAGGGAAGCGGAAUUCCCGGUGUAGUGGUGAAAUGCGUAGAUAUCGGGAGGAACACCAGUGGCGAAGGCGGCUUCCUGGCCUGCUCUUGACGCUGAGGCGCGAAAGCUAGGGUAGCAAACGGG
RNAcentral lists this ribosomal RNA (253 nucleotides) under uncultured bacterium. RNAcentral's name for it is "partial 16S ribosomal RNA". It matches the Rfam family "Bacterial small subunit ribosomal RNA", at positions 524 to 776 of the family's 1533-position model. The record is from RNAcentral.